AAUAAGAUAAGCUAAAUUGUAAGCUGUUGGGUUCAUACCCCAGAAAUGAAGCGUUGAUUCUCUUAUUA
RNAcentral lists this transfer RNA (68 nucleotides) under Bouchetitrochus caledonicus. RNAcentral describes it as "tRNA-Met". It matches the Rfam family "tRNA". Rfam says of the family: Transfer RNA (tRNA) molecules are approximately 80 nucleotides in length. Their secondary structure includes four short double-helical elements and three loops (D, anti-codon, and T loops). Lineage: Eukaryota; Metazoa; Mollusca; Gastropoda; Pleurotomariida; Pleurotomariidae. The record is from RNAcentral.